This 292-nucleotide ribosomal RNA is filed under the name uncultured bacterium. Its description in RNAcentral is "partial 16S ribosomal RNA". It matches the Rfam family "Bacterial small subunit ribosomal RNA", at positions 505 to 796 of the family's 1533-position model. The record is from RNAcentral.
GUGCCAGCAGCCGCGGUAAUACGUAGGGUGCAGGCGUUAAUCGGAAUUACUGGGCGUAAAGCGUGCGCAGGCGGUUUGUUAAGACAGGUGUGAAAUCCCCGGGCUUAACCUGGGAACUGCGCUUGUUACUGGCAGACUUGAGUGUGGCAGAGGGGGGUGGAAUUCCAGGUGUAGCAGUGAAAUGCGUAGAGAUCUGGAGGAACACCGAUGGCGAAGGCAGCCCCCUGGGUUAACACUGACGCUCAUGCACGAAAGCGUGGGGAGCAAACAGGAUUAGAAACCCUAGUAGUCC